CGACGUCUGAGCCGGCAUGUCAUUCGUUUUAUUGUCUCUCAUCAUUGUAUGAGGUAGGCAUUAGCGUGAAGGAUCUUGCCCAAGGACCCACACUGGAUGGUGUUAUGUGCUCAUUUUUGCCCCAAGCGGGAUUCGAACCACCGUCUCCCGUAUGCCAAACCGAUGCCUUACCAACUGAGCUAUCCAGCUAUUUGUAUAUAUAUAUAUAUAUUUGUAUAUAUAUAUAUAUAUCUAUUUGUAUAUAUAUAUAUAUAUCCCCACACACACACACACAUGCAUAGCCAACUCACCUCCAAAAUGGUUGAAGUACCAGAGUGGAAGUUGUUUUCACAGGGAACAGGAAUGAACAGAUUGAUUUUUUUUUUACUGUGGUUCACAAUUUUCUCUGUGGCCAUGAAAUGGGACAGAAGUGAAAAUCAAUUCCAGGACGAGGUCGAAUUUUGUGUUGCUGUCCAAAAACAGAGUUGGGAAUUUGAAUAGUGUCAGUCUCUGGGUUGGAAGGAAUCAAUUUCCUGCUGAGCUCGCUCCACAUGUUCAUGGUGGUUAUGCCAGUAAACACUAUUCCGCGUUUGUGAAUGUGUGGGUGUGUGCAUGAGCAUUUGUUUCCUUGUGCCCAGACAGAUCCUUUCAUAUACAAACUCCAAAGAAGACACACUCACACACAGCUUGGUUGCUGACCGACUUAUCAUUUUAGUACUGCUGAUUGUUAUUGCAAUUUAAAAGCUGGCCUCUCAUAUUCGUGGUCACUCCUGGCAUCCCCUAACAAGCUGGCAAUCAUUCAGCUCGCCGCCUAAUGCAGAGUAUGUCUUAACGGCAACUUAAAACAAAAGUAACUCUGAAAGGAAACAUAUACUGUGUUCUUCUGUGUAAUAACGUGUUCGGUAAUAUUAUCUGUGUCAAUUUUUUUCAGGAAAGUACACAUAAGUUGAAAGAUAAAAAGAUAAUUAAGUUGAUAAUAUAUUGAAUUUUAAUGUGGAGGCUGUACCAGCUUUCAUGACAUGCUUCGAAAUGAUGGUGCAACUUAAAGUGAAUAAUACUGACUAAUGACUAACCAUGAGGCCUUCACAUUUUUGUCUGUAAAAAUUUUCAGCAUUUUAAAACUGAACCAACUACUGAAUACACUAUGCACACGAGCAAGAGGAUGGCACGGUGGUCGAUUGGUUAGCAUGUCUACCUCACAUUGCAGAAGAUUCCGGGCUCAGACCUCCCUGUGUGGAGUUUGCAUAUUCUUCCCGUGCCUGCGUGGGUUUUCUCCGGGUACUCCGGUUUCCUCCCACAUUCCAAAAACAUGCAGGGCAGGCUGAAUGAACACUCUAAAUUGUCCCUAGGUGUGUUUGGAAGUCAAUGGUUGUUCGUCGAUGUGUGCCCUGCGAUUGGCUGCCAACCGGUUCAGGGUGUACCUGCCUGCUGCCCAAAGACAGCUGGGAUAGGCUCCAGCAUGACCCAUGACCCCUGUGAGGAUAAAGCGGAUCGGAAAAUGGAUGGAUGGAUGCAACCUUUGCAGUGAUCCCUCGCUAUUUCGCGAUUCAUUUAUCGCGGAUUCAGUGCGUCGUGGAUUUUUUUUCAAACAUAUUCCUAAAAAAUAAAAAUAAAAAAUAAAAAUUAAGUCUGCAAAAAGUCCGCAAACGGUCCGGGACAAGCAGCGAAAGGCAGCAAAACAACAGCGACUCACAUAGAGCAGCAUAUACAGUA
Molecule: long non-coding RNA, 1692 nt
Organism: Hippocampus zosterae (dwarf seahorse)
Lineage: Eukaryota; Metazoa; Chordata; Actinopteri; Syngnathiformes; Syngnathidae
Exons: 2
Source: RefSeq, a predicted model, not a curated record